Molecule: ribosomal RNA, 495 nt
Filed under: uncultured bacterium
Lineage: Bacteria
Description: partial 16S ribosomal RNA
Rfam family: Bacterial small subunit ribosomal RNA
Source: RNAcentral
GACGAACGCUGGCGGCGUGCUUAAUACAUGCAAGUCGAACGGUGAGGGAGGAUCUUGCUUCCCUGGAGGAGUGGCACACGGGUGAGUAACGCGUAGGGAACCUGCCAAGUAGUGGGGGAGAACGAUUAGAAACGGUAGCUAAUACCGCGUAAGAGUAGAUGCUCCAUGGCAGGUGCUUGAGAGGUGCAAUUGAAUCGGUACGAGAUGGGCCUGCGUAGUAUGAGCUCGGUGGUGGGGUAACGGCUCACCAAGGCAACGAUACAUAGGCGACCCGAGAGGGUGAUCAGCCGCACUUGGACUGGGACAAGGCCCCAACCCGUGCGGGAGGCAGCAGUAAGGAUCCUUCGGGAAGCGGCGGAAGUCAGACCGAGCCACGCCGCGUGAGUGUAGAGGGGUUUCGGAUCGUGAAGCUCUGUUGUAUGCGGAGAACGAGUUUGAGAGUGUAAAGUACACACUGUGACGGUAUCUUACCAGUAAGCAACGGCUAACUACGUG